UCUAACACCAUAAUACACAACAAUAACACAAUCGAAAAUGACCUACAAUCGCACAAAACUUCAAGAGCACUUACCAAUCACAAACCGAGCAGGAAUUACAAAACCAAAAAGUAGAUAUUGACGAUAAUUUUUGAAUGAAAAAAGAGAAGGUAGCAAAAGAAAGAAAAAAAUGAAAGUGUAAAGAAAGGGGAGAACAAACUGACGUCAGUUUCUUUUUGGAAGAGAGAGAACAAAC
RNAcentral lists this long non-coding RNA (235 nucleotides) under Gossypium barbadense (sea-island cotton). RNAcentral's name for it is "long non-coding RNA (GBAR_LNC001628)". Lineage: Eukaryota; Viridiplantae; Streptophyta; Magnoliopsida; Malvales; Malvaceae. The record is from RNAcentral.